GAUGAACGCUGGCGGCGUGCCUAAUACAUGCAAGUCGAGCGAACAGACGAGGAGCUUGCUCCUCUGACGUUAGCGGCGGACGGGUGAGUAACACGUGGAUAACCUACCUAUAAUACUGGGAUAACUUCGGGAAACCGGAGCAAAUACCGGAUAAUAUCUUGAACCGCAUGGUUCAUUAGUGAAAGACGGUUUUGCUGUCACUUAUAGAUGGUUCCGCGCCGCAUUAGCUAGUUGGUAAGGUAACGGCUUACCAAGGCAACGAGGCGUAGCCGACCUGAGAGGGUGAUCGGCCACACUGGAACUGAGACACGGUCCAGACUCCUACGGGAGGCAGCAGUAGGGAAUCUUCCGCAAUGGGCGAAAGCCUGACGGAGCAACGCCGCGUGAGUGAUGAAGGUCUUCGGAUCGUAAAACUCUGUUAUUAGGGAAGAACAAAUGUGUAAGUAACUAUGCACGUCUUGACGGUACCUAAUCAGAAAGCCACGGCUAACUACGUG
This 497-nucleotide ribosomal RNA is filed under the name uncultured bacterium. Its description in RNAcentral is "partial 16S ribosomal RNA". It matches the Rfam family "Bacterial small subunit ribosomal RNA", at positions 28 to 507 of the family's 1533-position model. The record is from RNAcentral.